Molecule: non-coding RNA, 96 nt
Organism: Cladorrhinum sp. PSN332
Lineage: Eukaryota; Fungi; Ascomycota; Sordariomycetes; Sordariales; Podosporaceae
Source: the annotation of a GenBank genome assembly
GACAACUUGGCCGAGUGGUUAAGGCGACAGACUUGAAUUUCACAUUCUGGGUAUCUGUUGGGUUCGCCCUCACAGGUUCGAAUCCUGUAGUUGUCG